UGCACGUGGCUGGGAGACAGAUUCAAGUGUAAUCCACUUUAGGUUUGAGGGGUCACCUCUAUCACCUCGCUUUUAGCCUUGAGAAAACAGUAAAAAAUCCAAAGAUUAUUGGGGUAGGCCCACACUGAGAAGAUCCUACUGGUCCCUGUGUUAACUCUUAACAAUCAAGUCCUCUUUUCAGGAUAAGGUUUCCUCAAUAAGCCAAGAUAUCAGAUGCAGCGGGACACUUCAUGAAACUUCACACCAUUUCUGCAAGUAGCUGGGUAGAUUGUAUCCGUGAGCCACAAUCGGUAUCUUCAUAAUGCAGAAUGCCAGGCUGUUUCUCUCUCAGUCUACUAGAAAUGUUUGAGUAAUACAGACAAUUUACCAUGUCACUGGGGACCCAUGGUUUAUCCUGGCCAUCAGCGUGUCUCUAAUGA
Molecule: long non-coding RNA, 419 nt
Organism: Ochotona princeps (American pika)
Lineage: Eukaryota; Metazoa; Chordata; Mammalia; Lagomorpha; Ochotonidae
Exons: 3
Source: RefSeq, a predicted model, not a curated record